RNAcentral lists this long non-coding RNA (216 nucleotides) under Homo sapiens (human). RNAcentral describes it as "HSALNT0132588". Lineage: Eukaryota; Metazoa; Chordata; Mammalia; Primates; Hominidae. The record is from RNAcentral.
CGGCUGACUGCAACCUCUGUCUCCCAGGUGCAAACGAUUCUCCUGCCUCAGCCUCCCAAGUAGCUGGGAUUGCAGGUGUGUGCCAUCACACCUGGCUAAUUUCUGUAUUUUUAGUAGAGACAGUUUUGCCAUGUUGACCAGGCUGGUCUCGAACUCCUGACCUUAGGUGAUCCGCCAGCCUCGGCCUCCCAAAGUGCUGGGAUUACAGGUGUGAAC